GUCCUUGUGGAGCACAGUAGCUCGCUCCCGUUCAUUACAGUGUCUCAUGCUAAGGUAUCUGGGAGAGUCGGUGGUUCGAACCCACCCAAGGACG
Non-coding RNA from Mycena capillaripes, 94 nucleotides. The record is from the annotation of a GenBank genome assembly. Lineage: Eukaryota; Fungi; Basidiomycota; Agaricomycetes; Agaricales; Mycenaceae.